UACGUAGGUGGCAAGCGUUGUCCGGAUUUACUGGGCGUAAAGCGUGCGCAGGCGGUUUUGUAAGUCUGUCGUGAAAGCCCCGGGCUCAACCUGGGAAUUGCGAUGGAGACUGCAAGGCUUGAAUCUGGCAGAGGGGGGUAGAAUUCCACGUGUAGCAGUGAAAUGCGUAGAGAUGUGGAGGAACACCGAUGGCGAAGGCAGCCCCCUGGGCCAACACUGACGCUCAGGCACGAAAGCGUGGGGAGCAAACAGG
RNAcentral lists this ribosomal RNA (253 nucleotides) under uncultured bacterium. Its description in RNAcentral is "partial 16S ribosomal RNA". It matches the Rfam family "Bacterial small subunit ribosomal RNA", at positions 524 to 776 of the family's 1533-position model. The record is from RNAcentral.